Neolamprologus brichardi is the source of this 345-nucleotide non-coding RNA. Lineage: Eukaryota; Metazoa; Chordata; Actinopteri; Cichliformes; Cichlidae. The record is from the annotation of a RefSeq genome assembly.
AUGUUCUCUGUAGCUCUGCUGAUGGUCUCUGCUGCUGGAUCCUGUGUGAAGUGUGAGCAGCUGACACAACCAGCCUCUGUGAUAGUGCAUCCAAGUCAGCGUCUGACCCUCACCUGUCAGGUUUCUUAUUCUCUUGGCGCCUGGACAGCUUGGAUCAGACAGCCUGCAGGGAAAGGACUGGAGUGGAUUGGGAUGAAAUACACUGGGAACUCUCACUUUAAAGAUUCACUAAAGAGCAAUUUCAGCAUUGACUUGGACACUUCAAGCAAGACAGUGACUUUAAACCAACAGAAUAUGCAGCCUGAAGACACUGCUGUGUAUUACUGUGCCAGAGAGUCAAAGUAA